RNAcentral lists this non-coding RNA (105 nucleotides) under Fictibacillus phosphorivorans. RNAcentral's name for it is "SAM-I sequence". It matches the Rfam family "SAM riboswitch aptamer (S box leader)". Rfam says of the family: The SAM riboswitch is found upstream of a number of genes which code for proteins involved in methionine or cysteine biosynthesis in Gram-positive bacteria. The SAM riboswitch acts at the level of transcription termination control. The predicted structure consists of a complex stem-loop region followed by a single stem loop terminator region. Lineage: Bacteria; Bacillati; Bacillota; Bacilli; Caryophanales; Fictibacillaceae. The record is from RNAcentral.
UCUUUAUCAAGAGCAGGUGGAGGGACAAGCCCUAUGAAACCCGGCAACCGGUCGAUUUGUCGACACGGUGCUAAUUCUUGCAGCUAUAAAGCUGAGAGAUAAGGA